Molecule: ribosomal RNA, 253 nt
Filed under: uncultured bacterium
Lineage: Bacteria
Description: partial 16S ribosomal RNA
Rfam family: Bacterial small subunit ribosomal RNA
Source: RNAcentral
UACAGAGGUCCCAAGCGUUGUCCGGAUUUAUUGGGCGUAAAGAGCUCGUAGGCGGCUUGUCGCGUCGACUGUGAAAACUCGGGGCUCAACUCCGAGCUUGCAGUCGAUACGGGCAGGCUAGAGUUCGGUAGGGGAGACUGGAAUUCCUGGUGUAGCGGUGAAAUGCGCAGAUAUCAGGAGGAACACCGAUGGCGAAGGCAGGUCUCUGGGCCGAUACUGACGCUGAGGAGCGAAAGCGUGGGGAGCGAACAGG